This 71-nucleotide transfer RNA is filed under the name Lepisosteus oculatus (spotted gar). It matches the Rfam family "tRNA". From Rfam's summary of the family: Transfer RNA (tRNA) molecules are approximately 80 nucleotides in length. The record is from Rfam by way of RNAcentral. Lineage: Eukaryota; Metazoa; Chordata; Actinopteri; Semionotiformes; Lepisosteidae.
GCAUUGAUGGUUCCAUAGUAGAAUUCUCACCUGCUAUGUAGGAGGUCUGAGUUCAAUUCACAGCCAAUGUG